This 125-nucleotide small RNA is filed under the name Marmota monax (woodchuck). Lineage: Eukaryota; Metazoa; Chordata; Mammalia; Rodentia; Sciuridae. The record is from RNAcentral.
GCCGGUCCUGGUGGCGCUUGCCUGUAAUCCCAGCUGUUUGGGAGGCUGAGGCAGGAGGAUCACCAGUUCAAAGCCAGCCUCAGCAAUAGUAAGGUGCUAAGCAACUCAGUGAGAUCCUGUCUCUA